Molecule: long non-coding RNA, 1830 nt
Organism: Austrofundulus limnaeus
Lineage: Eukaryota; Metazoa; Chordata; Actinopteri; Cyprinodontiformes; Rivulidae
Exons: 4
Source: RefSeq, a predicted model, not a curated record
CAGCAAAAAAAACACUUGUUUUAAAAACACUGCCAUAAAACCAGGCCUGUUUGAGGCCCAGUUAUUACAGGGGUGUUGUGGAUAAAAAUGUUCCCAGUCUAAAUUUAAAGCUUUAGUCUUUGUGAUCCACUGUAGAAAAAAAACAGUGAAAUCAACUCAAAACAUCAGAUAAUCAGCAACAAUCCACAGAAUGACACAGCAACUUUCCUGACCUGAACCUGUAAUAAAUAUUAAACUAAUUUAAAAAACAAUAACACUAUUAAACGUAAUAUUUAACUAAUUAAAAACACAAUAAUACUAUUAAACAUGCAGUCAGUAAGAGUAAACAACUUGUAUCUAAAUUUAAAAUAAACAUUAUUAAGUUUUAAAUCUAUCCUACAAAUGAAUAACUAUAAGAUGGACUAUAGCAGUUAUUACUCAGUAACAAAAUAUAAAUAUUUGGCCUUUAAAACUAAAUAAUUUAAACAAAUUUAACAAACAAACACUGGUUAUCUAAUCACCCAUCCCCCACACCAAGGUUACAGACUUCCCUCAAUGUCACUCAAACAUCAAAAUACCGCUUUUUAUCAAUAUACCUAUUUAAAUAUCACUAAUUAAGAUACUUUACUAAUAAAAACAAAUAAAACUGCAUUAAUCCUGAAAUUAAAGUUUAAAAAGAAAAAAAGAUAAAAUUAAAAAGUGUCUACUUAAAUUAAAAAAAAUCUGAAUUAAAAAGAAAAAAAAGUGUCGAGUGGUAAAUCCAAAAAAAAGAGCGAAACCUUUCUUCCAAAAAAAAUCUUCUUUGUCUUCCAGUUGGAUACUUUUUAGCCAACACAUUUCCCCUCCAACAUGUCCUCCUUCUUCCCCCCCACUCCCCGGCCGGGUGGGGUGGGGGAGGGGAGUCAUGUGAUAAAAAAACAAAUCAUCAUACUCGAACACGUGGCAGUUCUUCAAAUCCGACAUCAAACGCGUCCACAGCCGAGUCUUUUACACAAAACAGCGCUUCUACGUCCACAUCCUGCUAGAUUUACAAAGUAUUUUCCUCAGAUUUGUAGACAAAGUUGGCAAAAUAUCCGAACAAUGAUCGUACUUUUCCGUGGCACUUGGCUCGAUCCGAUUGGUCAGCUUUGAUCACGUGACGAAAAUCAUUUCUAUUUCGCUGAUUUCCUGUUUUGUUUUUAGCUUCGUUGCGUCUCUAAUGACAAUCCAUCUCUGCUCACGCAUCUGUUUUCUUAAAUCCUAUCACAAAUAUUUUCUCCAGAUGAAGAUGAAGAUGAAGACGGCCGUCAAACUGUCGCGUGUUGCAACAUAAAUGCCGCGCAUGCGCACAUCGAGGAGCGCACACAGCAUUUCUAGAUGGACUGGUGACCCGUCCAGGCUGGACCUUUCCUCUCUGCCUCUCACCUGUUGAUCUGCUGGGAUGAUCCAACCUCCUCCUGGUUCUGAACAGAACAAAGAAGGUCCAGAACACGACUAGAGAAGCAGCUCUGUGGUGGACUUGUGGCUCAUCCAGGUUCACAGUGACAGCUGGAGAGGUACCAGCUGCGCCGUGACACUGAAUGGAAAAGCAGUAUCGGCCAUUUUGUGGAAGCAAAGACUGAAAUGGCGACUGAGGGCUUUCCCGCCUUUUUCACCCUGCAGGGUGGCACAGGACUGCUGAGAGGAGCAGCCAAGAUUACAGAUGAGUCAUUAUGAUAGAAAAAAACCCAAACAGACAUGAUUAACCCUGAACAACAGUUUUUAUUAAUUCAUCCAGAGCAGUUAAAGACUGUAAAUAUAUAAAACAACAUUUCACCCUCACUAACUUAAUCCUUAAGUUAGUUCUAAAAUAAUUCAUGCAUUUGUGUUACA